RNAcentral lists this ribosomal RNA (468 nucleotides) under uncultured bacterium. RNAcentral describes it as "partial 16S ribosomal RNA". It matches the Rfam family "Bacterial small subunit ribosomal RNA", at positions 28 to 507 of the family's 1533-position model. The record is from RNAcentral.
GACGAACGCUGGCGGCGUGCUUAACACAUGCAAGUCGAACGGAAAGGCCCUGCUUUUGUGGGGUGCUCGAGUGGCGAACGGGUGAGUAACGCGUGAGUAACCUGCCCUUGACUUUGGGAUAACUUCAGGAAACUGGGGCUAAUACCGGAUAGGAGCUCCUGCUGCAUGGUGGGGGUUGGAAAGUUUCGGCGGUUGGGGAUGGACUCGCGGCUUAUCAGCUUGUUGGUGGGGUAGUGGCUUACCAAGGCUUUGACGGGUAGCCGGCCUGAGAGGGUGACCGGCCCCAUUGGGACUGAGAUACGGCCCAGACUCCUACGGGAGGCAGCAGUGGGGAAUAUUGCACAAUGGGCGGAAGCCUGAUGCAGCAACGCCGCGUGCGGGAUGACGGCCUUCGGGUUGUAAACCGCUUUCGCCUGUGACGAAGCGUGAGUGACGGUAAUGGGUAAAGAAGCACCGGCUAACUACGUG